RNAcentral lists this ribosomal RNA (1491 nucleotides) under marine metagenome. Its description in RNAcentral is "bacterial LSU rRNA". It matches the Rfam family "Bacterial large subunit ribosomal RNA", at positions 839 to 2292 of the family's 2925-position model. The record is from RNAcentral.
UCGGAGAUAGCUGGUUCUCCCCGAAAUAUAUUUAGGUAUAGCCUCAGGAAUUUUCUCCGGGAGGUAGAGCACUGAAUGGGCUAGGGGCCUUACCCGGUUACCGAACCCAAUCAAACUCCGAAUGCCCGAGAGAUGGACCCUGGGAGUCAGUGGGCGAGCGAUAAUGUCCGUCCGCGAGAGGGAAAGAACCCAGACCGUCAGCUAAGGCCCCAAAGUGUGUGCUAAGUGAGAAAGGAUGUGAAUUUGCAGAGACAACUAGGAGGUUGGCUUAGAAGCAGCCAUUCCUUUGAAGAGUGCGUAAUAGCUCACUAGUCAAGUGGAUUUGCGCCGAUAAUGGUCGGGACUCAAGCACACCGCCGAAGCUACGGAUGGAACGCCUCUUAGGAGGCGAAACAUGGUAGGGGAGCGUUCCCUGGGCGUUGAAGCGGACCUGUAAGGGCUUCCGUGGAGCGCAGGGAAGAGAGUAUGUCGGAAUGAGUAGCGAGAAACAAAGUGAGAAUCUUUGUCACCGAAAGCCUAAGGGUUCCGGAGCCAGGCUUAUCCGCUCCGGGUUAGUCGGUCCCUAAGUCGAGGCCGAAAGGCGUAGGCGAUGGGAAACAGGUCAACAUUCCUGUACCGUAAUGUGCGCGUUUGACCCUAAGGGGGGACGCAGAAGUGAAAGGACCGUCGGGUGGUGGAUUUCCGAUGUAAGGUGGUAGGCGUUGAGGAGUAGGCAAAUCCGCUCCUUUAGCCGAGAACCGAUGCCGAAGGGGCUUUCGAGCCCCGCAAAGGGUCCGUAAUCAGGCUGCCAAGAAAAGCCUCGUAGGGAAGUUCACAUUGCGACCGUACCGUAAACGGACACACGUAGGCGAGGCGAGAAGCCUAAGGUGCUCGAGUGAAUUGUGGAGAAGGAACUCGGCAAAUUGACCCCGUAACUUCGGAAGAAGGGGUGCCAGCGGUAGGUGAACCCACUUGCUGGGGGAGCCGAAACUGGCCGCAGAGAAUCGGCCCAGGCGACUGUUUAGCAAAAACAUAGGUGUCUGCUAAGUCGCUGAGACGACGUAUAGGCACUGACGCCUGCCCGGUGCCGGAAGGUUAAAUGGAGGGGUUAGCUUCGGCGAAGCUCUGAAAUGAAGCCCCGGUAAACGGCGGCCGUAACUAUAACGGUCCUAAGGUAGCGAAAUUCCUUGUCGGGUAAGUUCCGACCUGCACGAAUGGCGUAACGAUCUGGGCGCUGUCUCCUCCACAAGCUCGGCGAAAUUGGAGUCUCGGUGAGGAUACCGAGUACCCGCGACAGGACAAAAAGACCCCGUGCACCUUUACUACAACCUGCUAUUGGGCAUUGGUACUACAUGUGUAGCAUAGGUGGGAGACUUUGAAGCGGCCGCGCUAGCGGUCGUGGAGUCAUUAGUGAAAUACCACCCUUGUGAUAUUGAUGCUCUAACCCAGGGAUGUGAAUCCAUCCCGGGGACCGUGGCAGGCGGGUAGUUUGACUGGGGCGGUCGCCUCCCA